GAACGCACCUUGCACCCUUUGGUAUUCCGAAGGGUACACCCGUUUGAGUGUCAUUGUAAUCUCACUUCAACUCUUUUGUUGAAUGUGGACUUGGACAUUGCCGUGUCAUUACGGCUCGUCUCAAAUGCCUGAGUGUACCUUGCUUUUGCAGUGUAUCCGGUGUAAUAAACAUUUCACCAGAGCCAGGUCGCAAGACCGCAUUGUCUAGUAAGCUCUAUGCUUCAAACCGUCCUUUUUGGACAAUCUCUGACAAUUUGACCUCAAAUCGGGUGGGACUACCCGCUGAACUUAAG
This 293-nucleotide unclassified non-coding RNA is filed under the name uncultured fungus. RNAcentral's name for it is "sequence contains 5.8S rRNA gene". Lineage: Eukaryota; Fungi. The record is from RNAcentral.